GUGCUCACUUUGGCAGCACCUAUACUAAAAUUGAAAUGACAUAGAGAAGAUUAGCCUGGUCCCUGCACAAGGAUGACAUGCAAAUUUAUGAAGGGUUACAUAUUUUU
Aethalodelphis obliquidens (Pacific white-sided dolphin) is the source of this 107-nucleotide small nuclear RNA. The record is from RefSeq and is a predicted model, not a curated record. Lineage: Eukaryota; Metazoa; Chordata; Mammalia; Artiodactyla; Delphinidae.